RNAcentral lists this non-coding RNA (1066 nucleotides) under Trichobilharzia regenti. Its description in RNAcentral is "Eukaryotic large subunit ribosomal RNA". It matches the Rfam family "Eukaryotic large subunit ribosomal RNA", at positions 2389 to 3401 of the family's 3401-position model. The record is from Rfam by way of RNAcentral. Lineage: Eukaryota; Metazoa; Platyhelminthes; Trematoda; Strigeidida; Schistosomatidae.
AUUAUUAGAGGAAAAAGAUCCUAUUGGGCUUCACUAUCCUCUGACUUUUGUGAUCAAUCAUAAUGGAUGUGGAAUAAAUGGGAGAUGGAUACUUCGGUUCUUUUUGCCGCUAAAAUAUCACUGCUGACAUUGUCUCUUUACGUAUUCAAUCAUGCAGGAAUGAAAUGGUGUUCAGGCUGGUUUACGUCGUUUAACGUUGCGUGUGUCGUUGUUAUGAUCAUGUCAGUUUAUGAUGUUUUAGUCUUGAUAUGAUAUGUGACCCGUUCUAAAUACCAUUUCAGUGGUGGGAGGAGUUUGACUGGUUCGGUAGAGAACUAGAACUGUCAGCGCGACAACGCGGCUGAACUAUAAUGAGCUUAGCCAGAACAAAAACCUAGCAUAAAGCCAAAGGUCAGAAGCUUACUUAGUUUUCAUAUUUAGCACAAAUACAGACCAUGAGGGUGUGACCUGUAGAUCCUUUUCAAAAUAAUAAUCUUAGAGUUUGAAGCAACAGGGUCCAGAAAAGUUGCCACAGGGAUAACCAAGCUUUCAUACAGACAUUACUUUCUAACUCUUUAAUGUCGACUGUUCCUCUUAUCAUGUAGCAGAAUUCUUUAAGUAUGAGAUUGUGCACCGACUGGGCUUAGACCAUUGUGAAGGAUUUGGGUUCUACACUACGAAUGAGUACAAUCUGGCCGUUGUUAAAGUACGAGAGCAGUCUCAGGAUCAGACAAUUGAUAUAUCUACCUGGUUAGAAGAACAAUGGUGAAAACCUACCAUUUGCGGAAUUAAUAGUGAAUGCCUUUAAGUCUGAAUCCCGACCAUAUUUGCAACGAAACAUUCAGUACCCGACAGACAUAUGACGUGGCAAGCUAAGAUAUUCCUUCGAUUGGCUGGACUGUGCUUAAUGUUACUCCAAAGCGGUGACUAUAAAAAAUAGCCUAUAUCUCGGGGUGUAAGGUUUGAUACGACAUCGAAUUAUUGUAUUAGCCUAAGGGGAUACGUAGAGAAAUUAAUGUUUUGUCAGGGAGACGCAAGUGUUCGCAGAUAGCACACUGUUAGGCAUUAAGUUCUGUCCCUUCUUCUU